ACCUGCAGAGAGCUUGGUGCUGUCAAGUUUUCCGUGACGGAUGCUAGCUAGGGUGCUUCCAGCUUCGGACGCUCUCGGAUUUGCCAACCGGCGUCAAGAAUAUAAAUUCUUUAGAGGUUCUUCCUGGAAUGAAGAAAGGUCUCGACCACGACCUAUGUUUGUAGAAACACAGCCCUGGUUUUGUGGGUUCAGGAGACCCAGUCCUACACUCUGGGAGUCCUGUGGCCCUGUUGCUUGGCACUGCCUAUGCAAGCUCUCAUCUCCUACUUCCAGUCUAAUCCAUUAUCAUCGCGGCAGAGAGACUGGUGGCAUGCAAGACGUGGUACUGGAGAGUAGCUGAGAAUUCCGCAUCUGGAUUUACAGGCAACAGACAGAGGCAGUGGGCCUGGCUUGAACAACUGAAACCCCAAAGCCCACCCUGAAUGACACAGUUCCUCAAGGAUACACCUUCUGCAACAAGGGCACACCUCCUAAUCCCUGUCAGGUAGCACCACUCUCUGACAACCAAGCAUUCACAUAUAUGAGCCUAUGGAGACCAUUCCUAGUCAAACCAAUGCUAACUAUGCCUGAACCCCAAAGUCUCAAUACUGGGACUAGAAUUCAAACAAAAAGCUCCAUCUCUAAUCCUGACAACUAUAAAGGGAAUCAACCUAAGCUCACGCUGUAGAACUUCUUUCAUGUUACCAAGACAGUUCCACUUAUACAGAUUCCUGUAGCCAUGAAGAGCAGGUUAACUCUAGGAAUGCAGCUGGGUGUAUUUUCAGGCCCCAGAGACUAACUGGCUUGCUUACACUAACAGCUUAACCAAUCCUGCAACUUGUAAAUUGUUUACACUGAUGGAGACCCCCACUCCUUCUUGUCCUUGUUUAUGUUAUACUACAAGUGUUUAAAUAAUAACAACAACAAUAAUAAAAAGAGGUCAGGGCCCACCUAAAUCUAAAUUCUGGGCUUACUCUUGCAUGGCAGGCUGUCCCCAUUCAUUCUCCUAUUGGAGGUGGGCAGGCAUCUCCAGCUCUGCUGAAGUUCAAAUUUCAGCCAUAAUUGACCAAAAUUUCAAGGGAACUUAUUGUUCAAGCAGAUGUAGACUUAGGCCAUCUGAAAAGUUUUAUUUCCUGUCUGGAAGCCCAGGUAGACUCCCUAGUAGAGGUGGAUCUCCAGAAUCCAACAGGUCUACAUCUCUUCUUCAUGGAAUAAGGGGAGAGUUUGGUUCUAUGCCAACCAGAAGGCAAGAAACUGAAAACUGGUACCAAUCCUUGGUCUCUCCGUCCCUUUGGUUAACUGUACUUAGCGUCCAUUACUGAGCCAUGAGUCCUUUAACCCAGAAGUCCUCCAAAGGAGCAUCUUUAACUCUGGUUGCCAGAUUUGGGCCAAUGUCUUCAGAAUACAGUCAGCUUUUGUGUUAUCAAAUUGCCCCUACCUCCCAAGGUCUGGGGUUGCAAUUGCACACCACUGUACCCAGUGAAGAAAAAUACAAUUUCCUUUUUGGUCGAAUGUAGGGACUAGGGGUAUGAUUUAGUGGGUAAAAUGCCUGCUCUGCAACCAUGAAGAUCUGGGUUCGAAUCCUCAAAACCCAUAAAGCCAGGUACCAAACCACAGAAACCACAAUCCUAGCACUGGGAGGAAGAGAGGAGAGGACUGCAUGGACCUACUGGGCAGCCUGGUAAGCUCCAAGUUUAGUGAAAGACCUUGACUCGAAAACUAAGGUGAAGGAGCUGGGGUUGCGACUGAGGUUCAUUCAGAGUGCGCUCUGCUCUUUGCAGAGGACUAGAGUUCAGUUCCGGCAUAUACAUCGGGUGGUUCAAACUGCCCUUAACACAAGCCCUGGGAGAUGCAGUGUCUUCUUUGUACCCCACAGGCACCAGCUACAUGCACAUAACCCCACCUUGUAUACACAGUU
Long non-coding RNA from Apodemus sylvaticus (European woodmouse), 1897 nucleotides. RefSeq lists it as uncharacterized. Lineage: Eukaryota; Metazoa; Chordata; Mammalia; Rodentia; Muridae. The record is from RefSeq and is a predicted model, not a curated record. The transcript has 3 exons.